AAGUCGUAACAAGGUUUCCGUAGGUGAACCUGCGGAAGGAUCAUUAACACGUAUCCAACGUUAAAACCCCCCCCGUGAACUUUCAAUCCUGCUCUUGUAACCCGCGUAGUUCGCAAUCUCUGGUAAAUCAUAGCCCGGAAAGUUGUUUUGAUUCGGAGACCUCUGGCUACGUGAGAACAUUGGAACAGUUACAAUCGAGCGGUAGUUUCAUAGGCAUUGUUUCCCCAAGCAGUCAGUGUCGGAAAGUGUCACUGAUUGUGCAAGGAUAGCGCUUCACGAUUCCUGUAGACCGUACACUCGGGCAGGAGCUAUGCCAAAGGGUCCCCAUGCCCCCUUAUAACCCCACAGUUUAAUGUAAAGCUCAAUGUAAUACAUUGGGUAAAAAAACCGAACAACUGUUAACAAUGGAUAUCUUGGUUCUC
RNAcentral lists this unclassified non-coding RNA (422 nucleotides) under fungal sp. RNAcentral's name for it is "partial internal transcribed spacer region". The stretch from base 1 to 46 matches the Rfam family "Eukaryotic small subunit ribosomal RNA", at positions 1786 to 1831 of the family's 1831-position model. Lineage: Eukaryota; Fungi. The record is from RNAcentral.